This 480-nucleotide ribosomal RNA is filed under the name Blastocystis sp. RNAcentral describes it as "SSU rRNA". It matches the Rfam family "Eukaryotic small subunit ribosomal RNA", at positions 460 to 953 of the family's 1831-position model. The record is from RNAcentral. RNAcentral also lists the same sequence under 1 other name. Lineage: Eukaryota; Bigyra; Opalinata; Blastocystidae.
GGAGGUAGUGACAAUAAAUCACAAUGCGGAACUUCUGUUUUGCAAUUGGAUUGAGAACAACGCACAACACUUAUCGAUAAACAAUUGGAGGGCAAGUCUGGUGCCAGCAGCCGCGGUAAUUCCAGCUCCAAUAGCGUAUAUUAACGUUGUUGCAGUUAAAAAGCUCGUAGUUGAAGUGAAGUGUGAAUCUCUAGGAUUUUCGUUAGAAUUUCCUUUAGCUUCAUACUCUUUCCAAAUAGUUUGCAUGGGUAUUUACUUAUCUGUGUAUUGCAUUUGGUCAUUUACUGUGAGAAAAUUAGAGUGUUCAAAGCAUACGUUUGUUUGAAUACAUUAGCAUGGAAUAAUUCGAAAAGGCUUUCAUGUUCGAUUUGAUUGGUUUGUUCGUGAAGGCAAGAUUAAAAGGGACAGUUGGGGGUAUUCAUAUUCAAUAGUCAGAGGUGAAAUUCUCGGAUUUAUGGAAGAUGAACAAGUGCGAAAGCA